CCUACGGGUGACUGCAGUGAGGAAUAUUGGUCAAUGGGCGUAAGCCUGAACCAGCCAAGUCGCGUGAGGGAUGAAGGUUCUAUGGAUCGUAAACCUCUUUUAUAAGGGAAUAAAGUGCGGGACGUGUCCCGUUUUGUAUGUACCUUAUGAAUAAGGAUCGGCUAACUCCGUGCCAGCAGCCGCGGUAGUACGGAGGAUCCGCGCGUUAUCCGGCUUUAUUGGGGUUAAAGGGUGCGUAGGCGGCCUUUUAAGUCAGCGGGGAAAGUCUGUGGCUAAACCAUCGAAUUGCCGUUGAAACUGGGAGGCUUGAGUAUGUUUGAGGCAGGCGGAAUGCGUGGUGUAUCGGUGAAAUGCUUAGAUAUCACGCAGAACCACGAUUGCGAAGGCAGCCUGCCAAGCCAUGACUGACGCUGAUGCACGAAAGCGUGGGGAUCAAACAGGAUUAGAUACCCGAGUAGUC
Molecule: ribosomal RNA, 460 nt
Filed under: uncultured bacterium
Lineage: Bacteria
Description: partial 16S ribosomal RNA
Rfam family: Bacterial small subunit ribosomal RNA
Source: RNAcentral